GGUCCUAUAGCUCAGUUGGUUAGAGUAGCUGACUCAUAAUCAGUUGGUCCCAGGUUCGAGUCCUGGUGGGACCACCC
This 77-nucleotide transfer RNA is filed under the name Flavobacteriaceae bacterium. RNAcentral describes it as "tRNA-Met". It matches the Rfam family "tRNA". Rfam says of the family: Transfer RNA (tRNA) molecules are approximately 80 nucleotides in length. Their secondary structure includes four short double-helical elements and three loops (D, anti-codon, and T loops). Further hydrogen bonds mediate the characteristic L-shaped molecular structure. tRNAs have two regions of fundamental functional importance: the anti-codon, which is responsible for specific mRNA codon recognition, and the 3' end, to which the tRNAs corresponding amino acid is attached (by aminoacyl-tRNA synthetases). tRNAs cope with the degeneracy of the genetic code in two manners: having more than one tRNA (with a specific anti-codon) for a particular amino acid; and 'wobble' base-pairing, i.e. permitting non-standard base-pairing at the 3rd anti-codon position. Lineage: Bacteria; Pseudomonadati; Bacteroidota; Flavobacteriia; Flavobacteriales; Flavobacteriaceae. The record is from RNAcentral.